CCCGGCGGGCCAGAGCUUCCUGGCUGCGUUAUGGAGGUGAUUAAGUGUCCGGAGCACGGGGCCGUCUGCUUCUUAAAGACCGGCGUCCGCGAUGGCCCGAACAAGGGAAAGAGCUUCUACGUAUGCCGGACGAACACAUGCGGCUUCGUGCAGGCCACCGAUAUUCCUGUUUCUCAUUGUUUAUUGCAUGAGGAGUUUGUGGUAGAGCUUCAGGGUUUGUUUCUACCACAGGGCAAGAAAGAAUGGAGGUGAGUGUCCAGAAGAAACAUCUAGAUGCAACACACACACACACACACACACACA
RNAcentral lists this long non-coding RNA (303 nucleotides) under Rattus norvegicus (Norway rat). RNAcentral describes it as "long non-coding RNA NONRATT016713". Lineage: Eukaryota; Metazoa; Chordata; Mammalia; Rodentia; Muridae. The record is from RNAcentral.